UAGGGAAUCUUCGGCAAUGGGGGGAACCCUGACCGAGCAACGCCGCGUGAGUGAAGAAGGUUUUCGGAUCGUAAAGCUCUGUUGUUAAGGAAGAACGAGUGUGAGAAUGGAAAGUUCAUGCUGUGACGGUACUUAACCAGAAAGGGACGGCUAACUACGUGCCAGCAGCCGCGGUACUACGUAGGUCCCGAGCGUUGUCCGGAUUUAUUGGGCGUAAAGCGAGCGCAGGCGGUCAAUUAAGUCUGAUGUGAAAGCCCCCGGCUCAACCGGGGAGGGUCAUUGGAAACUGGUUGACUUGAGUGCAGAAGAGGAGAGUGGAAUUCCAUGUGUAGCGGUGAAAUGCGUAGAUAUAUGGAGGAACACCAGUGGCGAAGGCGACUCUCUGGUCUGUAACUGACGCUGAGGCUCGAAAGCGUGGGUAGCAAACAGG
Molecule: ribosomal RNA, 430 nt
Filed under: Bacteroidota bacterium
Lineage: Bacteria; Pseudomonadati; Bacteroidota
Description: Bacteroidetes bacterium partial 16S ribosomal RNA
Rfam family: Bacterial small subunit ribosomal RNA
Source: RNAcentral